UCUUUUCCUUGUGUGCCAGCAGCCGCGGUAAUACGGAAGGUCCGGGCGUUAUCCGGAUUUAUUGGGUUUAAAGGGAGCGUAGGCCGGAGAUUAAGCGUGUUGUGAAAUGUAGAUGCUCAACAUCUGAACUGCAGCGCGAACUGGUUUCCUUGAGUACGCACAAAGUGGGCGGAAUUCGUGGUGUAGCGGUGAAAUGCUUAGAUAUCACGAAGAACUCCGAUUGCGAAGGCAGCUCACUGGAGCGCAACUGACGCUGAAGCUCGAAAGUGCGGGUAUCGAACAGG
Molecule: ribosomal RNA, 284 nt
Filed under: Segatella copri DSM 18205
Lineage: Bacteria; Pseudomonadati; Bacteroidota; Bacteroidia; Bacteroidales; Prevotellaceae
Description: Prevotella copri DSM 18205 partial 16S ribosomal RNA
Rfam family: Bacterial small subunit ribosomal RNA
Source: RNAcentral